RNAcentral lists this ribosomal RNA (301 nucleotides) under uncultured bacterium. Its description in RNAcentral is "partial 16S ribosomal RNA". It matches the Rfam family "Bacterial small subunit ribosomal RNA", at positions 509 to 807 of the family's 1533-position model. The record is from RNAcentral.
CAGUAGCCGCGGUAAUACGGAGGGGGCUAGCGUUGUUCGGAAUUACUGGGCGUAAAGCGCACGUAGGCGGCUCUGUAAGUUAGAGGUGAAAGCCUGGAGCUCAACUCCAGAACUGCCUUUGAGACUGCAUCGCUUGAAUCCAGGAGAGGUGAGUGGAAUUCCGAGUGUAGAGGUGAAAUUCGUAGAUAUUCGGAAGAACACCAGUGGCGAAGGCGGCUCACUGGACUGGUAUUGACGCUGAGGUGCGAAAGCGUGGGGAGCAAACAGGAUUAGAUACCCGCGUAGUCCCUGUCUCUUAUAC